RNAcentral lists this ribosomal RNA (201 nucleotides) under uncultured bacterium. RNAcentral describes it as "partial 16S ribosomal RNA". It matches the Rfam family "Bacterial small subunit ribosomal RNA", at positions 328 to 539 of the family's 1533-position model. The record is from RNAcentral.
ACGCUCGACACCUACGGGAGGCAGCAGUGGGGAAUAUUGGGCAAUGGGCGAAAGCCUGACCCAGCAACGCCGCGUGAGGGAUGAAUGUUUUCGGAUUGUAAACCUCUGUCCUCAGGGACGAAGGACGUGACGGUACCUGAGGAGGAAGCCCCGGCUAACUACGUGCCUGCAGCCGCGGUAAUCUGAGCGGGCUGGCAAGGC